This 253-nucleotide ribosomal RNA is filed under the name uncultured bacterium. Its description in RNAcentral is "partial 16S ribosomal RNA". It matches the Rfam family "Bacterial small subunit ribosomal RNA", at positions 524 to 776 of the family's 1533-position model. The record is from RNAcentral.
UACGAAGGGGGCUAGCGUUGCUCGGAAUUACUGGGCGUAAAGGGCGCGUAGGCGGAUGUUUAAGUCGGGGGUGAAAGCCCAGGGCUCAACCCUGGAAUUGCCUUCGAUACUGGACAUCUUGAGUGCGGGAGAGGUGAGUGGAACUCCUAGUGUAGAGGUGGAAUUCGUAGAUAUUAGGAAGAACACCAGUGGCGAAGGCGGCUCACUGGUCCGGUACUGACGCUGAGGUGCGAAAGCGUGGGGAGCAAACAGG